AAGUCGUAACAAGGUUUCCGUAGGUGAACCUGCGGAAGGAUCAUUAGAGAUGCGGCGUGAGCCGUUCAAAACCACGCACACUGUGAACCGUCGGCCCCGGCCUUCAAACUCCGUGUACUGAACGUCAUUGAUGGUAACAUAACAAAACUUUCAACAACGGAUCUCUUGGCUCUC
This 174-nucleotide unclassified non-coding RNA is filed under the name Sebacina sp. RNAcentral describes it as "partial contains small subunit ribosomal RNA, internal transcribed spacer 1, and 5.8S ribosomal RNA". The stretch from base 1 to 46 matches the Rfam family "Eukaryotic small subunit ribosomal RNA", at positions 1786 to 1831 of the family's 1831-position model. Lineage: Eukaryota; Fungi; Basidiomycota; Agaricomycetes; Sebacinales; Sebacinaceae. The record is from RNAcentral.